GUCCACGCCGUAAACGUUGGGCGCUAGGUGUGGGGAACCUUCCACGUUCUCCGUGCCGCAGCUAACGCAUUAAGCGCCCCGCCUGGGGAGUACGGCCGCAAGGCUAAAACUCAAAGGAAUUGACGGGGGCCCGCACAAGCGGCGGAGCAUGUGGCUUAAUUCGACGCAACGCGAAGAACCUUACCAAGGCUUGACAUACAGGGAAAUCCGGCAGAGAUGUCGGGUCCGCAAGGGCCCUGUACAGGUGGUGCAUGGUUGUCGU
RNAcentral lists this ribosomal RNA (262 nucleotides) under uncultured bacterium. Its description in RNAcentral is "partial 16S ribosomal RNA". It matches the Rfam family "Bacterial small subunit ribosomal RNA", at positions 793 to 1055 of the family's 1533-position model. The record is from RNAcentral.